This is a non-coding RNA of Caenorhabditis elegans, 21 nucleotides long. The record is from Ensembl. Lineage: Eukaryota; Metazoa; Nematoda; Chromadorea; Rhabditida; Rhabditidae.
UUAUAGGAUAAUACCGGAUUU